UGAGUAACCUGCCCCAGACUCUGGGAUAAGCACUGGAAACGGUGUCUAAUACCGGAUAUGAGCUUCAGCCGCAUGGCUAGGAGUUGGAAAGAAUUUUCGGUUUGGGAUGGACUCGCGGCCUAUCAGCUUGUUGGUGAGGUAAUGGCUCACCAAGGCGACGACGGGUAGCCGGCCUGGAGGAGGGUGACCGGCCACACGUGGGACUGAGACACGGCCCAGACCUCCGUACGGGGAGNAGG
RNAcentral lists this ribosomal RNA (239 nucleotides) under uncultured bacterium. RNAcentral's name for it is "partial 16S ribosomal RNA". It matches the Rfam family "Bacterial small subunit ribosomal RNA", at positions 118 to 351 of the family's 1533-position model. The record is from RNAcentral.